Long non-coding RNA from Salvia splendens (bonfire salvia), 716 nucleotides. RefSeq lists it as uncharacterized. The transcript is spliced from 2 exons. Lineage: Eukaryota; Viridiplantae; Streptophyta; Magnoliopsida; Lamiales; Lamiaceae. The record is from RefSeq and is a predicted model, not a curated record.
UCAAUUGAGGUGGCAUUUCAGAGUAUUAGUUGCAUUAAAGGAUAAAUCAGUCACUUCAUAUAUUAUAUUCACUCUCCGAAAUAAAAGUUGGGGGAUUUCAGCGAUCAAUCAAUACAUGAUCUGUCUUCUCACAUUCAACUCAUUUCACACCUUUCCACUCUCUUUCCAAUUCAUUCAACUUCUCAAUUCAAAAACCUAGCCCAAUCCUGCCGAUUUCUACAUUUCCGGCGACCCAAACAUUGCGCUUUUGAGAAUAGAGCGUGAAUCUCUUCCAACUACCGACCACAUGUACUCUUAUUAGCUAAAAGAUGAGCAAUUUCAAACACCUCAGCGCCUGACGUCGGAGAAACUUCGCGAAAUGUAGCCGAGAGUCCUGCUGAGUUGCGUAACUAUAUAAUCGUUAUGAUGAUGUAGCAGAAUCCGGUGGUGACGCCUCAGAGAGUGACGAGAAAACGACUGUUGGCCUCAAAGCACAAGUCAUUGAGCUUUCAUAAUAUAUUGAGGACAGAAAAAGCUUCCAGUGAAAGAAGGAUAUAUAACUGUAUGGCUUGAAAUUUGAUGGAAACAUAAGGUUUGAAAAGUAAUGUGCACAAUUUUUACUUCUCUUACAAAACAGAUUAUGAAAUAUUGUAGAGUUUGUAGUAUUACAAUGAAAGAAACAUACUGAUAUCAAAAACUGCUUUAAUAAAUAGAUACUCCUAUGGAGUAUUAAUCUA